RNAcentral lists this ribosomal RNA (120 nucleotides) under Beta vulgaris subsp. vulgaris (sugar beet). Lineage: Eukaryota; Viridiplantae; Streptophyta; Magnoliopsida; Caryophyllales; Amaranthaceae. The record is from RNAcentral.
GCAUUCGACCAUACCAUGCAAAAUGUACCCGUUCCUGUCCACUUACGGAAGUCAAGCUGCAUUGGGCCGGUGGUAGUAGUCAGGUGGGGGACCACUGGCGAACACCCGGUGUUGAAUGCA